UUCAUUGUUGUCGAUGAUGUAUUUUGGAACUGAGAGAAAAAUGAUUGAUUGCACAGUUCGUCACUACCACUGAGACAACAGUGAG
Suncus etruscus (white-toothed pygmy shrew) is the source of this 85-nucleotide small nucleolar RNA. RefSeq annotates it as small nucleolar RNA SNORD70. The transcript has a single exon. Lineage: Eukaryota; Metazoa; Chordata; Mammalia; Eulipotyphla; Soricidae. The record is from RefSeq and is a predicted model, not a curated record.